RNAcentral lists this ribosomal RNA (489 nucleotides) under uncultured bacterium. RNAcentral describes it as "partial 16S ribosomal RNA". It matches the Rfam family "Bacterial small subunit ribosomal RNA", at positions 29 to 506 of the family's 1533-position model. The record is from RNAcentral.
AAUGAACGCUGGCGGCAUGCCUUACACAUGCAAGUCGAACGGCAGCAUGACCUAGCUUGCUAGGUUGAUGGCGAGUGGCGAACGGGUGAGUAAUGCAUCGGAACGUGCCUUUUAGUGGGGGAUAACGUAGCGAAAGUUACGCUAAUACCGCAUAUUCUCUGAGGAGGAAAGCAGGGGACCUUCGGGCCUUGCGCUAGAAGAGCGGCCGAUGUCGGAUUAGCUAGUUGGUGAGGUAAAGGCUCACCAAGGCAACGAUCCGUAGCGGGUCUGAGAGGAUGAUCCCCCCCACGGGGAUUGAGACACGGCCCAGACUCCCAGGGGGGGCAGCAGGGGGGAAUUUUGGACAAGGGGCGCAACCCUGCUCCAGCCAGGCCGCGGGAGGGAAGAAGGCCUUCGGGUUGUAAAGCUUUUUCGGCUGGGAAGAAAUCGCACCCUCUAAUACGGGGUGGGGAUGACGGUACCAGCAUAAGAAGCACCGGCUAACUACGU